Molecule: ribosomal RNA, 594 nt
Filed under: Biscogniauxia mediterranea
Lineage: Eukaryota; Fungi; Ascomycota; Sordariomycetes; Xylariales; Xylariaceae
Description: eukaryotic LSU rRNA
Rfam family: Eukaryotic large subunit ribosomal RNA
Source: RNAcentral
UAAGCAUAUCAAUAAGCGGAGGAAAAGAAACCAACAGGGAUUGCCCUAGUAACGGCGAGUGAAGCGGCAACAGCUCAAAUUUGAAAUCUGGCCUUCGGGUCCGAGUUGUAAUUUGUAGAGGAUGCUUUUGGCGCGGUGCCUUCCGAGUUCCCUGGAACGGGACGCCUUAGAGGGUGAGAGCCCCGUACGGUUGGACACCAAGCCUCUGUAAAGCUCCUUCGACGAGUCGAGUAGUUUGGGAAUGCUGCUCUAAAUGGGAGGUAAAUUUCUUCUAAAGCUAAAUACCGGCCAGAGACCGAUAGCGCACAAGUAGAGUGAUCGAAAGAUGAAAAGCACUUUGAAAAGAGGGUUAAAUAGCACGUGAAAUUGUUGAAAGGGAAGCGUUUACGGCCAGACCUUUUCCUGGCGGAUCAUCUGGUGUUCUCACCAGUGCACUCCGCCAGGUUUAGGCCAGCAUCGGCUCCCGUAGGGGGAUAAAAGCAGUGGGAAAGUAGCUCCCUCGGGAGUGUUAUAGCCCGCUGCACAAUACCCUUACAGGGGCCGAGGACCGCGCUUUUGCAAGGAUGCUGGCGUAAUGGUCGUCAACGACCCGUC